GGAUUGCCUCAGUAGCGGCGAGUGAAGCGGCAAAAGCUCAAAUUUGAAAUCUGGCGUCUUUGGCGUCCGAGUUGUAAUUUGAAGAAGGUAUCUUUGGGCCCGGCUCUUGUCUAUGUUCCUUGGAACAGGACGUCACAGAGGGUGAGAAUCCCGUGCGAUGAGAUGACCCGGGUCUGUGUAAAGUUCCUUCGACGAGUCGAGUUGUUUGGGAAUGCAGCUCUAAGUGGGUGGUAAAUUCCAUCUAAAGCUAAAUAUUGGCGAGAGACCGAUAGCGAACAAGUACAGUGAUGGAAAGAUGAAAAGAACUUUGAAAAGAGAGUGAAAAAGUACGUGAAAUUGUUGAAAGGGAAGGGCUUGAGAUCAGACUUGGUAUUUUGCAUGCUGCUCUCUCGGGGGCGGCCGCUGCGGUUUACCGGGCCAGCAUCGGUUUGGAGCGGCAGGAUAAUGGCGGAGGAAUGUGGCACGGCUUCUGCUGUGUGUUAUAGCCUCUGACGAUGCUGCCAGCCUAGACCGAGGACUGCGGUUUUUAACCUAGGAUGUUGGCAUAAUGAUCUUAAGUCGCCCGUCUUGAAACACGGACCAAGGAGUCUAACGUCUAUGCGAGUGUUUGGGUGUAAAACCCGUACGCGUAAUGAAAGUGAACGAAGGUGGGGGCCCAUUAGGGUGCACCAUCGACCGAUCCUGAUGUGUUCGGAUGGAUUUGAGUAAGAGCAUAGCUGUUGGGACCCGAAAGAUGGUGAACUAUGCCUGAAUAGGGUGAAGCCAGAGGAAACUCUGGUGGAGGCUCGUAGCGGUUCUGACGUGCAAAUCGAUCGUCGAAUUUGGGUAUA
This 830-nucleotide ribosomal RNA is filed under the name Candida albicans. RNAcentral's name for it is "LSU rRNA". It matches the Rfam family "Eukaryotic large subunit ribosomal RNA", at positions 72 to 919 of the family's 3401-position model. Lineage: Eukaryota; Fungi; Ascomycota; Pichiomycetes; Serinales; Debaryomycetaceae. The record is from RNAcentral.